UCAGGAUGAACGCUGGCGGCGUGCCUAACACAUGCAAGUCGAGCGAUUACUUCGGUAAAGAGCGGCGACGGGUGAGUAACGCGUGGGUAACCUGACCUCAUACACAUGGAUAACAUACCGAAAGGUAUGCUAAUACAGGAUAAUAUAAGAGAUUCACAUGGAUUUCUUAGUCAAAGCUCCGGCAGUAUGAGAUGGACCCGCGUCUGAUUAGCUAGUUGGUAAGGUAAUGGCUUACCAAGGCGACGAUCAGUAGCCGACCUGAGAGGGUGAUCGGCCACAUUGGAACUGAGACACGGUCCAAACUCCUACGGGAGGCAGCAGUGGGGAAUAUUGCACAAUGGGCGAAAGCCUGAUGCAGCAACGCCGCGUGAGUGAUGAAGGCCUUCGGGUCGUAAAACUCUGUCCUCAAGGAAGAUAAUGACGGUACUUGAGGAGGAAGCCCCGGCUAACUACGUGCCAGCCGCCGC
This 467-nucleotide ribosomal RNA is filed under the name uncultured bacterium. RNAcentral describes it as "bacterial SSU rRNA". It matches the Rfam family "Bacterial small subunit ribosomal RNA", at positions 24 to 518 of the family's 1533-position model. The record is from RNAcentral.